This 645-nucleotide ribosomal RNA is filed under the name uncultured bacterium. RNAcentral's name for it is "bacterial SSU rRNA". It matches the Rfam family "Bacterial small subunit ribosomal RNA", at positions 110 to 753 of the family's 1533-position model. The record is from RNAcentral.
GUAACACGUAUGCAACCUACCCUUUACUGGGGCAUAGCUCAGAGAAAUCUGAAUUAAUUCCCCAUAAUACAAUUGAAUGGCAUCAUUUGAUUAUUAAAGCUGAGGCGGUAAAGGAUGGGCAUGCGUUGCAUUAGCUAGUUGGUGAGGUAAUGGCUCACCAAGGCUACGAUGCAUAGGGGUUCUGAGAGGAUGAUCCCCCACACUGGUACUGAGACACGGACCAGACUCCUACGGGAGGCAGCAGUAGGGAAUAUUGGUCAAUGGACGCAAGUCUGAACCAGCCAUGCCGCGUGCAGGAAGACGGCCCUCUGGGUUGUAAACUGCUUUUAUAUGGGAAGAAACCUCAUUAUGCGUAAUGAACUGGCGGUACCAUAUGAAUAAGGAUCGGCUAACUUCGUGCCAGCAGCUGCGGUAAGACGAAGGAUCCAAGCGUUGUCCGGAUUUACUGGGUUUAAAGGGUGCGUAGGCGGAAUUUUAAGUCAGUGGUGAAAGCCCUUCGCUCAACGAAGGAACUGCCAUUGAAACUGAAAUUCUUGAAUACGGUUGAGGUAGAUGGCAUAUAACAUGUAGCGGUGAAAUGCUUAGAUAUGUUAUAGAACACCGAUUGCGAAGGCAGUCUACUAAGCCGUGAUUGACGCUGAGGCA